This 639-nucleotide long non-coding RNA is filed under the name Sus scrofa (pig). Its description in RNAcentral is "lncRNA (ENSSSCG00050010952.1)". The record is from RNAcentral. Lineage: Eukaryota; Metazoa; Chordata; Mammalia; Artiodactyla; Suidae.
CUCAUUUUUCCCGGGCUUUCGGUCGGCGUUUUCCUUUUCUCGCGGGUUUGGGCGCGCAUCGAACUCUGAAGGGUCGGGAAGGCCUGUCGUUGGAAUGUGGUUGAGUUCCAGGGAGUGUACAGGCUGGAGGAUGGGACAAGACCUAUCUCUGUAUCGAUCAAGCACGGCGUUGGUGUUCCAGCUCAUCACCAAUCCUAAGGAAUUCAAGUGCCUCCCAGGAUGAAUACAGGUUGUCUUGAUGGUGAUACAUUCAUCUGUCUUAAGAUCCCUGCUGAUCUGCUCAUGGUCAAACUCCUGGAAAGAGUUGAGAGUGGGGUACCUUGUUCCUGCAUCCUCAAAGGAGCAUCUUGUUCCUCCAUUUAAGCUUCCAGAGUUAAAAGGUACCUGUACCAUUUAGCGGCUUGUUCACUCAAAGAUCCAUCUUGUCUGGAGCCUGAGGAUGACUGGAGGUGAAAGGUGUAAGCCAUACUCUGCUCAACUCCAGUCUGAAACUGAGGUUUAAAGAAAGAACACGUACUUAACACACGGGAAUCCAACUCUUGGAGGACAUCAGAAGUGGAAUUUUCUUAUACAACCUACCUAUUCAAAUUAGCAUAUAAUCUUUCUAGCCUUUCUAAAUAAAUAAAGGGAUUUUUUUGU